GGGUUGUGAGGUUAAGCGACUAAGCGUACACGGUGGAUGCCCUGGCAGUCAGAGGCGAUGAAGGGCGUGCUAAUCUGCGAUAAGCGCCGGUAAGGUGAUAUGAACCGUUAUAACCGGCGAUACCCGAAUGGGGAAACCCAGUGUGAUUCGUCACACUAUCAUUAACUGAAUCCAUAGGUUAAUGAGGCGAACCGGGGGAACUGAAACAUCUAAGUACCCCGAGGAAAAGAAAUCAACCGAGAUUCCCCCAGUAGCGGCGAGCGAACGGGGAGGAGCCCAGAGCCUGAAUCAGCAUGUGUGUUAGUGGAAGCGUCUGGAAAGGCGCGCGAUACAGGGUGACAGCCCCGUACACAAAAGCGCAUAUGCUGUGAGCUCGAUGAGUAGGGCGGGACACGUGGUAUCCUGUCUGAAUAUGGGGGGACCAUCCUCCAAGGCUAAAUACUCCUGACUGACCGAUAGUGAACCAGUACCGUGAGGGAAAGGCGAAAAGAACCCCGGCGAGGGGAGUGAAAAAGAACCUGAAACCGUGUACGUACAAGCAGUGGGAGCCCCACCACUAAGCCAGUGGUGAACUCCACAUACGCAUCCUUUGCUGAGGAUACGGUUAACGGAGCGAAAGCGACGUUCAACCUCAAAAGAAGCAGAGGGGGC
RNAcentral lists this ribosomal RNA (651 nucleotides) under Salmonella enterica. Its description in RNAcentral is "partial 23S ribosomal RNA". It matches the Rfam family "Bacterial large subunit ribosomal RNA", at positions 1 to 667 of the family's 2925-position model. Lineage: Bacteria; Pseudomonadati; Pseudomonadota; Gammaproteobacteria; Enterobacterales; Enterobacteriaceae. The record is from RNAcentral.